Helicoverpa zea (corn earworm) is the source of this 941-nucleotide long non-coding RNA. RefSeq lists it as uncharacterized. The transcript has 4 exons. The record is from RefSeq and is a predicted model, not a curated record. Lineage: Eukaryota; Metazoa; Arthropoda; Insecta; Lepidoptera; Noctuidae.
CGCGAGUUGCGAUGAGCCCGUUAGCCGAGCGCUCGUAACGCAAAUCCUUCCUAAAUUGCGUGGCGCGCACAUGUCGCCGCCACGCCAGAUAUGUCGAUAUUUUAAAAGAACACGACCGUCGCACGUAAAAAAAAGAUACGCGAGUUAGGACUUAGUAUCCAUUUGCUGAAAUUGGCCUCGUUCAAGAUAACAACAAGUUUCGCACCCUCCCAACUAAAUGUGCAAUUCAUACGUGUGUAAAUUUAUGGCUGUACGUGGUAUUAUGCACCUUUUUGUGAAGGCAGUAAGAUUUGAAUUGCUGUGACUUGGUGUAGUUUUAAGCAUAUGUCAUUGCGGAUGCUAAGGUGGCUUUAUCAGAUCUCGUUGGACAACAUGCGGUGAACAUCAGUCCAUUGAGAACUUUUCUUCGGGUCGCGGGUGGAACCGUGGUUACAGCUUGUAAAAUACAAUAUUAAACAGAAUUAAGCCGUAAGAAUGAGCCUGAUGGUGGAGGAGGCAGUAGACGAACUCUUGGAUCUGGAAGUCUUGGAUGAAAAAAAGCAGCUUAUCAAAUCAAGCCAAUUGAAAUUAAUCCCGAUUUCAAGUUUCUUAUAGCUGAAACGUCCAACAAGUAUUUGCAUGACAUACAGUUCUGCGCGGGCGUGGUGGUAGCUAUCGAGUACAUGGAGUACCUACCUGAUGGAUCCGCGCUCGAUGGUCGGGCUGGCUUUACUCCUUCGCGCCAACCCAUUCUUCAUCAAGACUAUCGCACAGCGUAUGUUGCGGGUGCAGGAGUUUGGCUUAAUUUAAAUUCAAAUUCAUUUAUUCAGUAAGAUAUCAAAGAUCCACUGUGUUAGUUACAAAACAAAUAGACUUAGCAUUUUUAGCUUUAGUUAAAAUUAAUACUUUAUAACUAACUAGCCGUUUUCCCGCGGUUUCACCCGCGUCCAAUAGGAGUUACU